RNAcentral lists this long non-coding RNA (218 nucleotides) under Lathyrus oleraceus (garden pea). RNAcentral's name for it is "Pisum sativum (pea) long non-coding RNA (PSAT_LNC022397)". The record is from RNAcentral. Lineage: Eukaryota; Viridiplantae; Streptophyta; Magnoliopsida; Fabales; Fabaceae.
UUCAAUCCACUGCCGAAUGAAAGAUGGUUGUCCUCUUUCCCUUUUUUGAAGAGUGUAAAAUUUGAAUUUUUCUGCCAACUCCUCUCACGUGGUGACACUCUUCAAAAUUCAAGAAUGACAUUCCUUCCAGCUUCUCUCUAUUGCAAAAGAAGACAAGACAAUUUCCUUUGGUGCCCCUUUUUUGGACUUGGCUUGUGGCAUUUUAUCUUAUGUAUCCA